UCACUUUCUCAAUUUUUCAAAAAGUACUUUGUUUUACCCAAAAAAAAAUUCCCUUGGCCAAAGAGGCUCUACAUCGGCUUCUACAUCCCCAAUUUCCAUCAGCUCUCUCAAUCUAUCCAACGUAGAAGGUGUGUCUUCUUUGCUGUCCGGUCAAACCCAUAUAAUGCAUGCGAUUUCUAAUAAUCCAUUAGUUCGAGUACGGAUCUACGAUUGAGCUAAUGAUUUAUCUUUGCUGAGAAGUUUGAUUUUUGAGUACUGCUUCUAUUUAAUUUCGUGAAUUUUGAGGUGAUUCAGGUGAAAGGUUAGACUACUGCAAUGAAGAUAAUGUAAUUUAAAAAUUCAUUCCUCUUCCUCAUGCUCACUGCAAAUUGACUAGUCUUCCUCUUUAAUUGUAAACUUCAAAAGAUUCUUCAAUUUUGAUGCAUACAUUAAGUCCACCUCCAUCCCACAAAUCUCUCCUUGUUUACUCAUAAAACGGUACAGUUGAAUUUAUACGUGGUUUCUAGACAAGUGCACUAAUUUGACCCAGAAAUAAUAAAGCAAUUGAAGAAUAAUAUGAUACUUUCCGGGAACUAGCUUUUCGGGCGCAAGCUUCCGAGAAAGUAGGUAAAAUAGCAGAAAUAACGAUUCCGGGAAUUAACUAUCCGGGCGCAGCAAUGAUGAGAUCAAAAGCAAGAAAGUAAAUGAUAUUAAGCUUUGUAUAGAAUAUAAUAUAAAUUUGUCAGAAAAUUCGUAUCUUUUACGGUGAUAAUUGAGCUCUCUAUUUAUAGCUAUGUCUUGGGAAGGAGGUCCUAGGAUCGUGCCCUCCUUUAAUGUCAAUUAUGAGGGCCAUUAAUGAAGGUGUAACGGUGUAAAUAAAUGUCAAAUUCCUUAUAACGGGCAACCGUUCUUAAUACUAUAAAAUAUUCUCUAUUAAAUACUACCGGAUGCAAAACAUUUAAUACACCUUUAUGAACAUUCUCUCCCGAUGACAAGCGAAAUAGCUCCGUUCGGUGACCAUCUCCAUCUUGGAUUCCAUGUGUCCUUUCUUUAGGUGACCACGUGUCAUAUCAUAUUUUCCCUAUACACUCCCCCUACAUGAACUUUGAGAAAAAGAAAUGCGAAGGUUCGUUUGAACAUUGCUCGCCUUUAUGGGAUAUUAGCAAAACCAAAUAACCAGGAAACAUUCGGAAUAUUCAUGGAUCAUUGAAAGAUAAAAAAAUCUAACAAAUCAAAAACAAAAACUUAAGGGAAAAAAAUUCGAAGGAUAAAGAUGUAGAAAUAACUAGGCUGGGAAAGAAGAUUGCAGUGAAGCAACUGUUUGCUUGAUCCAAUAUCUGCAAUGAUUUCUUGCUUAGUUUGGUUCUUUUACUAUACAUGUUGCGUGUCUCACUUCUCGAUUUGUUACCAAGGCCAUUCCAAGUUGUCCUCUAGUUCUGCCAAGGCAGCUUCCUCAGUGUAGUUCUCCUCAUCGAAAUCAAAAUCGCUAUCAUCUUCUGCUCCUGCAUCUUUGGUACCAAAUUUGUCACCAAUCAGUAAGAAGAAAAUAGUAUAUGGUUAGUCUGAGAAACAGAAAGCUAAAUAAAUCUUAAACCUGUAGUUCUGUGCACAAAAUCCUCAAACAAGUUCUCGUACAAGAUCGACCUCACAGCUGCAUGUUCAUUGGAUUUAGGCAAAAAGUAGUCUGGGUGAGAAAAGUAGUAAUGACGAGCUGCAACCUGAUAUAUAGGCAUAUAACUUCCCAUGACACACUGCUCUUGCAUAGAACUGCUUGGAUACCGAUGUUGGAUUGCUAGCUCUUUUGAUUCACUAGUUGAUGUUAAGUGCUGGUCUGUUUCUGGUCUGUCACAUUCAAUGCUGGCUCCAAACUCUUUCAUUUGAAAAGUAUAACUCCAACCAAGUACUGAGACGUUAAUCUCGUCACCAGCUUGUAUAUACUUUCCAAAUUUCCAGUGGCAUAAAAAUGUCAGAUCUUCAUUUGAUCCUGGAAUGCCUAUGAAUGUUGGAGCGUAAAUCCACUUGUCACCGCUGAUCACAUUACUUAGUUUGAUGAAAAAGGAAUACCAGUUCCCAAAUUGGUUUUCACCCCAGCGUUGAAAUCGAUGACGAGUGGAACGUGAAUAUACAAUGCAGAUAUUAAGUCCUAUUAUCUUUGUAUUAGUAUGAGAAUCAACUUUCAGAGUCAAUAUGCUUUCUUCACCCUUGUUGCUGAACCAACUUGGAAUGUCACUUCCAGGAAAGUAUGUGCUGAAGAUUCCAAACUCGUAGAGUCCCUAAAGGAAAAAAAAGAUAAAGCAUGAUAAACUUGCCAUAGGAGUUGUCUUUUUUUCUUUUGUAUUUGUUUCUGUCGUACUUUGUAGAGAUGGACUCUAGUAGAUAAGAAUGCUUAAGUCUCAGAUGAAAGUCAUGCUAAUAAAAAACGCGUAUACCUGCACAGAAUAUUUCCUCUUUGUGUCUGUAAGCCUAUUGAAUAGUUCUACCUCUGCAUUUUCUAUAUCUUCCAGGUUGAGAUGGCUUAAAAUGUUCAACAUUUCCCCCUUAAAGUUACCGACUGGCUCUAACUUGAACAGUCCAGGAAUCUCAGUUAGUUUCUCGCUGCCUCUAACAUCCAAGAGUAGAGUUUGAGUUUCCCAUAGGUUUGGCAGAUUUGUAACUCUUUCUAAUGAUGUGCAGUCUAUAGCCUUCAGCUUGAUGAGGCUCGGAGGUAGCUUGGGAAGCGAUUGGAGGCUUGGGCAUGCAUCUAGCCAAAGUUCCUGAAGCAUAUUUAGAUUUGUGAUAUUUUGUGGCAGGUUACAAAUCAGGUUUUCGCUUAGAUUCAAGUGCCUUAACGAGGAAAGAUUGCAAAGACCAAGGGAUAGAAAAUCAUCUGUUAGCCUGCAUUUUGCAAGACUCAAGCUAACCAGGGAACUUGAUAAAGAAGACAAGGAGAAGUUGUUAUAAUCUGGAGAUUUUCGUAAUCUUGAUGACCAAGAUUGCCAGAGCUCAGUCCAUGAUUUCUCCUGAUUGUAACUUAUUUCAUCUGCUUUGAGCGUUGUUAAGAAUUCCAGCUUUCCUAAUUCCAUUGUUGAUAUAGAAAGUCUAGAGCAGCCAGAAAUGAUAAGUGUUUCCAAGGAC
This 3093-nucleotide long non-coding RNA is filed under the name Nicotiana tabacum (common tobacco). Its description in RNAcentral is "long non-coding RNA (NTAB_LNC006067)". The record is from RNAcentral. Lineage: Eukaryota; Viridiplantae; Streptophyta; Magnoliopsida; Solanales; Solanaceae.